CCUACGGGAGGCAGCAGUGGGGAAUCUUAGACAAUGGGCGCAAGCCUGAUCUAGCCAUGCCGCGUGAGUGACGAAGGUCUUAGGAUCGUAAAGCUCUUUCGCUGGGGAAGAUAAUGACUGUACCCAGUAAAGAAGUCCCGGCUAACUCCGUGCCAGCAGCCGCGGUAAU
This 169-nucleotide ribosomal RNA is filed under the name uncultured bacterium. RNAcentral's name for it is "partial 16S ribosomal RNA". It matches the Rfam family "Bacterial small subunit ribosomal RNA", at positions 338 to 524 of the family's 1533-position model. The record is from RNAcentral.